This 345-nucleotide unclassified non-coding RNA is filed under the name soil metagenome. RNAcentral's name for it is "partial contains 5.8S ribosomal RNA, internal transcribed spacer 2, and large subunit ribosomal RNA". The stretch from base 1 to 120 matches the Rfam family "5.8S ribosomal RNA", at positions 35 to 154 of the family's 154-position model. The record is from RNAcentral.
GAUGAAGAACGCAGCGAAAUGCGAUAAGUAAUGUGAAUUGCAGAAUUCAGUGAAUCAUCGAGUCUUUGAACGCACAUUGCGCCCCCUGGUAUUCCGGGGGGCAUGCCUGUCCGAGCGUCAUUGCUGCCCUCAAGCACGGCUUGUGUGUUGGGCCUCCGUCCUCCUCCCGGGGGACGGGCCCGAAAGGCAGCGGCGGCACCGCGUCCGGUCCUCGAGCGUAUGGGGCUUCGUCACCCGCUCUUGUAGGCCCGGCCGGCGCUUGCCGACACAUCAAUCUUUUUUCCAGGUUGACCUCGGAUCAGGUAGGGAUACCCGCUAAACUUAAGCAUAUCAAUAAGCGGAGGA